RNAcentral lists this long non-coding RNA (491 nucleotides) under Nicotiana tabacum (common tobacco). RNAcentral's name for it is "long non-coding RNA (NTAB_LNC011468)". Lineage: Eukaryota; Viridiplantae; Streptophyta; Magnoliopsida; Solanales; Solanaceae. The record is from RNAcentral.
AAACUGAAAUUUUUCUUUCCGUCAGCAUUAGGAUUUUAAACCCUAAACUGAACUCUUUCCUUCAGUCAGCAUUAGGGUUUUAAACCCUAAACUGAACUCUUUCCUUUAGUCAGCACUAGGGUUUUAAAUCCUAAACUGAACUUUUCCCUUCAAUUAGCAUUAGGGUUUUAAACCCUAAACUGAACUUUUCUCUUCAGUCAGCAUUAGAGUUUUAAACCCUAAACUGAACUUUUUUCAUUCAGUCAGCGUUAGGGUUUUAAACCCUAAACUGAACUUUUCCUUUAGUCAGCAUUAGGGUUUUAAACCCUAAACUGAACUUCUUCCAUUUAAUCAGCAUUAGGGUUUUAAACCCUAAACUGGACUUUUUCCAUGUAGUCAGCAUUAAGGUUUUAAACCCUAAACUGAACUUUUUCCAUUCAGUCAGCAUUAGGGUUUUAAACCCUAAACUGAACUUUUUCCCUUUAGUUAGCAUUAGGGUUUUAAGCCCUAAA